GAUGAGGGUUUUCGGAUCGUAAAGCUCUGUUUUAGGGAAGAACAAGUGCAAGAGUAACUGCUUGCACCUUGACGGUACCUACCCAGAAAGCCACGGCUAACUACGUGCCAGCAGCCGCGGUAAUACGUAGGUGGCAAGCGUUGUCCGGAAUUAUUGGGCGUAAAGGGCUCGCAGGCGGUUUCUUAAGUCUGAUGUGAAAGCCCCCGGCUCAACCGGGGAGGGUCAUUGGAAACUGGGAAACUUGAGUGCAGAAGAGGAGAGUGGAAUUCCACGUGUAGCGGUGAAAUGCGUAGAGAUGUGGAGGAACACCAGUGGCGAAGGCGACUCUCUGGUCUGUAACUGACGCUGAGGAGCGAAAGCGUGGGGAGCGAACAGGAUUAGAUACCCUGGUAGUCCACGCCGUAAACGAUGAGUGCUAAGUGUUAGGGGGUUUCCGCCCCUUAGUGCUGCAGCUAACGCAUUAAGCACUCCGCCUGGGGAGUACGGUCGCAAGACUGAAACUCAAAGGAAUUGACGGGGGCCCGCACAAGCGGUGGAGCAUGUGGUUUAAUUCGAAGCAACGCGAAGAACCUUACCAGGUCUUGACAUCCUCUGACAACCCUAGAGAUAGGGCUUUCCCUUCGGGGACAGAGUGACAGGUGGUGCAUGGUUGUCGUCAGCUCGUGUCGUGAGAUGUUGGGUUAAGUCCCGCAACGAGCGCAACCCUUGAUCUUAGUUGCCAGCAUUCAGUUGGGCACUCUAAGGUGACUGCCGGUGACAAACCGGAGGAAGGUGGGGAUGACGUCAAAUCAUCAUGCCCCUUAUGACCUGGGCUACACACGUGCUACAAUGGACAGAACAAAGGGCUGCGAGACCGCAAGGUUUAGCCAAUCCCACAAAUCUGUUCUCAGUUCGGAUCGCAGUCUGCAACUCGACUGCGUGAAGCUGAAUCGCUAGUAUCGCGA
RNAcentral lists this ribosomal RNA (944 nucleotides) under Bacillus sp. DS1.hex.1. Its description in RNAcentral is "bacterial SSU rRNA". It matches the Rfam family "Bacterial small subunit ribosomal RNA", at positions 407 to 1347 of the family's 1533-position model. The record is from RNAcentral. Lineage: Bacteria; Bacillati; Bacillota; Bacilli; Caryophanales; Bacillaceae.